CACUUCGUUUUUAUACGCCCGUCUAUGACGGGACGUAUUAUGGUAUACCCCGCGUCCGUCUGUCCGUCCGUCCGUCUGUCCGUCCGUAUGUCUGUUAAUGUCGUACGCUACGUCAAAUAUCCUUUGACAGAUUUUCUUCAAAUUUUAACACAAUCUUAAUAUUGAUAAACCCUGAUCCCCUUUCGUUUUUGACGGAAUUCUGAAUUGUCGUUCCAGAGUUAUGGGACUUUGUUCGUCAAAAUUUCGUGAUUUCAUUGAAUGUCCUACUGUAGCUAUAUAAAAAUGUUAAAGUUGUUAUAACUUUGGUAUGCUUGGACCUAGAGUCUUGAAACUUGACAUGAAGGUUGGCCAGAACUAGUAAGUAACCACUGGACAUUUCAAGGUCAUUCAUUUGAAGGUCAAGGUCACUGUGACCUUGAAUGUAAAAAUGUUAAAGUUCUUAUUUCAUGUUAUAACUUUGGUGUGCUUGUACCUAGAGUCUUCAAACUUGAAAUAAAGAUUGGCCAGUACUAGAAGAUGACCACUGGUCAUUUCAAUGUCAUUCAUUUGAAGGUCAAGGUCACUGUGACCUUAAAUGUUAAAAUGUUAAAAUUGUUAUAACUUUGGUAUGCUUGGACAUAGAGUCUUCAAACUUGACAUGAAGGUUUGCAAGCACACUUAGAUGACCACUGGUCAUUUCAAGGUCAUUCAUUCUAAGGUCAAGGUCACACAAGGUCACUGUGACCUUAAAUGUUAAAAUGUUAAAAUUGUUAUAACUUUGGUAUGCUUGGACAUAGAGUCUUCAAACUUGACAUGAAGGUUUGCAAGCACACUUAGAUGACCACUGGUCAUUUCAAGGUCAUUCAUUCUAAGGUCAAGGUCACUGUGACCUUAAAUGUUAUUGUUGUUCAUGUAUCCUACCGUAGCUCAAAUAUCCCCCGAUGGAUUUUUUAUACGCCCGUCUAUGACGGGACGUAUUAUGGUAUACCCCGCGUCCGUCUGUCCGUCCGUCCGUCCGUCCGUCCGUCUGUUAAUGUCGUACGCUACGUCAAAUAUCCUUUGACAGAUUUUCUUCAAAUUUUAACACAAUCUUAAUAUUGAUAAACCCUGAUCCCCUUUCGUUUUUGACGGAAUUCUGAAUUGUCGUUCCAGAGUUAUGGGACUUUGUUCGUCAAAAUUUCGUGAUUUCAUUGAAUGUCCUACUGUAGCUCAAAUAUCCUUCGAUGGAUUUUUUUCAAAUUUCAACACAAUCUUAAUAUUGAUAAACCCUGAUCCCCUUUCGUUUUUGACGGAAUUCUGAAUUGUCGUUCCAGAGUUAUGGGACUUUGUUCGUCAAAAUUUCGUGAUUUCCAUGCUCAUGUACUUAUAAAAUAAACCAUGUAUUCAAAUACAAAUAAACUGAAGUAAAAAAAUGA
This is a long non-coding RNA of Dreissena polymorpha, 1394 nucleotides long. RefSeq lists it as uncharacterized. The transcript is spliced from 2 exons. The record is from RefSeq and is a predicted model, not a curated record. Lineage: Eukaryota; Metazoa; Mollusca; Bivalvia; Myida; Dreissenidae.